CCCUAGAGAGAGUUCAUUUAUAUCUUCAGGGAGAUCCAAGCUGAAAGAGGGGCGGGUGAUGAAAAUUUGAAGGGAGACACAGCAGAGCUGACGACGAGGCCAACAACACGAGGGGAGAGCAUGGCUGGGAGGCGGCCCUGAGCCCAAGCGCGGUUCCCAUCAAGUCACAG
RNAcentral lists this long non-coding RNA (170 nucleotides) under Felis catus (domestic cat). Its description in RNAcentral is "lncRNA (ENSFCAG00000052319.1)". Lineage: Eukaryota; Metazoa; Chordata; Mammalia; Carnivora; Felidae. The record is from RNAcentral.